This 482-nucleotide ribosomal RNA is filed under the name uncultured bacterium. RNAcentral's name for it is "partial 16S ribosomal RNA". It matches the Rfam family "Bacterial small subunit ribosomal RNA", at positions 28 to 523 of the family's 1533-position model. The record is from RNAcentral.
GAUGAACGCUGGCGGCGUGCUUAACACAUGCAAGUCGAACGGUGAAGCCAAGCUUGCUUGGUGGAUCAGUGGCGAACGGGUGAGUAACACGUGAGCAACCUGCCCUGGACUCUGGGAUAAGCGCUGGAAACGGUGUCUAAUACUGGAUAUGAGCCUCUUCCGCAUGGUGGGGGUUGGAAAGAUUUUUCGGUCUGGGAUGGGCUCGCGGCCUAUCAGCUUGUUGGUGAGGUAAUGGCUCACCAAGGCGUCGACGGGUAGCCGGCCUGAGAGGGUGACCGGCCACACUGGGACUGAGACACGGCCCAGACUCCUACGGGAGGCAGCAGUGGGGAAUAUUGCACAAUGGGCGGAAGCCUGAUGCAGCAACGCCGCGUGAGGGAUGACGGCCUUCGGGUUGCAAGCCUCUUUUAGCAGGGAAGAAGCUUUUGCGACGGUACCUGCAGAAAAAGCGCCGGCUAACUACGUGCCAGCAGCCGCCGUAA